GUAACACGUGAGAAUUUGCCUUUAGGAGGGGGAUAGCAGUUGGAAACGACUGCUAAUACCCCAUAUGCUUUCGAGUGAAAUGGAUUUAUAUUAUCCGCCUAGAGAGAAGCUCGCGGCUGAUUAGCUUGUUGGUAAGGUAAGAGCUUACCAAGGCGACGAUCAGUAUCUGGUUUGAGAGGACGAUCAGACACACUGGAACUGAGACACGGUCCAGACUCCUACGGGAGGCAGCAGUGGGGAAUUUUCCGCAAUGGGCGAAAGCCUGACGGAGCAAUACCGCGUGAGGGAAGACUGCCUAUGGGUUGUAAACCUCUUUUUUCAGGGAGGAAUAAAAUGACGUGUACCUGAAGAAUAAGCAUCGGCUAACUCCGUGCCAGCAGCCGCGGUAAGACGGAGGAUGCAAGUGUUAUCCGGAAUCACUGGGCGUAAAGCGUCUGUAGGUGGUUUAAUAAGUCAACUGUUAAAUCUUGAGGCUCAACUUCAAAAUCGCAGUCGAAACUAUUAGACUAGAGUAUAGUAGAGGUAAAGGGAAUUUC
This 536-nucleotide ribosomal RNA is filed under the name uncultured bacterium. RNAcentral describes it as "bacterial SSU rRNA". It matches the Rfam family "Bacterial small subunit ribosomal RNA", at positions 110 to 670 of the family's 1533-position model. The record is from RNAcentral.